UACAUGGGGUGCAAACGUUGCUCGGAAUUAUUGGGCGUAAAGCGCACGUAGGUGGUCUGUUAUGUCAGAUGUGAAAGCCCUCGGCUUAACUGAGGACGUGCACCUGAAACUGGCAGGCUUGAGUACGAAAGAGGGUCGCGGAAUUCCCGGUGGAGAGGUGAAAGUCGGAGAUAGCGGGAGGAACAGCGGUGGCGAAGGCGGCGACCUGGUUCGAUACUGACACUGAGGUGCGAAAGCGUGGGGAGCAAACAGG
Molecule: ribosomal RNA, 253 nt
Filed under: uncultured bacterium
Lineage: Bacteria
Description: partial 16S ribosomal RNA
Rfam family: Bacterial small subunit ribosomal RNA
Source: RNAcentral